CUUGGUCAUUUAGAGGAAGUAAAAGUCGUAACAAGGUUUCCGUAGGUGAACCUGCGGAAGGAUCAUUAUUGAAAUAAACUGACAGGUUGUUGCUGGUUCUCUAGGGAACAUGUGCACGCCUUGUCAUCUUUAUAUCUCCACCUGUGCACCUUUUGUAGACCUGGAUAUCUCUCUGAGUGCUUGCGCUCAGGUUUGAGGAUUGAUUCUUUUGUCUCUCCUUACAUUUCCAGGCCUAUGUUUCUUCAUAUACCCUAAUGUAUGUUAUAGAAUGUAAUAAAUGGGCCAUUUGUGCCUAUAAACAUAUACAACUUUCAGCAACGGAUCUCUUGGCUCUCGCAUCGAUGAAGAACGCAGCGAAAUGCGAUAAGUAAUGUGAAUUGCAGAAUUCAGUGAAUCAUCGAAUCUUUGAACGCACCUUGCGCUCCUUGGUAUUCCGAGGAGCAUGCCUGUUUGAGUGUCAUUAAUAUAAUCAACCUCUUCAGCUUUUGCUUGUUGAGUGUUGGAUGUGGGGGUAACUUUUUGCUGGCCUCUCUGAGGUCAGCUCCCCUGAAAUGUAUUAGCGGAAUAAUUUGUGGACCGUUCAUUGGUGUGAUAACUAUCUACGCUAUUGACGUGAAGCAAUUCUGCUUCUAACAGUCCAUUGACUUGGACAAAUUUCAUUAACUUGACCUCAAAUCAGGUAGGACUACCCGCUGAACUUAAGCAUAUCAAUAA
Molecule: ribosomal RNA, 714 nt
Filed under: Thaxterogaster talimultiformis
Lineage: Eukaryota; Fungi; Basidiomycota; Agaricomycetes; Agaricales; Cortinariaceae
Description: eukaryotic LSU rRNA
Rfam family: 5.8S ribosomal RNA (bases 307-460)
Source: RNAcentral